RNAcentral lists this ribosomal RNA (1197 nucleotides) under Pseudomonas sp. XY3. Its description in RNAcentral is "bacterial SSU rRNA". It matches the Rfam family "Bacterial small subunit ribosomal RNA", at positions 100 to 1304 of the family's 1533-position model. The record is from RNAcentral. Lineage: Bacteria; Pseudomonadati; Pseudomonadota; Gammaproteobacteria; Pseudomonadales; Pseudomonadaceae.
GCACGGGUGCGGAANACGUGUGCAACCUGCCUUUAUCUGGGGGANAGCCUUUCGAAAGGAANAUUAAUACCCCAUAAUAUAUGUCAAGGCAUCUUGAUAUAUUGAAAACUCCGGUGGAUANAGAUGGGCACGCGCAANAUUANCUUGUUGGUGAGGUAACGGCUCACCAAGGCGAUGAUCUUUAGGGGGCCUGANAGGGUGAUCCCCCACACUGGUACUGANACACGGACCANACUCCUACGGGAGGCAGCAGUGAGGAAUAUUGGACAAUGGGUGAGAGCCUGAUCCAGCCAUCCCGCGUGAAGGACGACUGCCCUAUGGGUUGUAAACUUCUUUUGUACAGGGAUAAACCUUUCCACGUGUGGGAAGCUGAAGGUACUGUACGAAUAAGCACCGGCUAACUCCGUGCCAGCAGCCGCGGUAAUACGGAGGGUGCAAGCGUUAUCCGGAUUUAUUGGGUUUAAAGGGUCCGUAGGCGGGCCUGUAAGUCAGUGGUGAAAUCUCAUANCUCAACUAUGAAACUGCCAUUGAUACUGCAGGUCUUGAGUGAAUUUGAAGUGGCUGGAAUAAGUAGUGUAGCGGUGAAAUGCAUAGAUAUUACUUAGAACACCGAUUGCGAAGGCAGGUCACUAAGAUUCAACUGACGCUGAUGGACGAAAGCGUGGGGAGCGAACAGGAUUAGAUACCCUGGUAGUCCACGCCGUAAACGAUGCUAACUCGUUUUUGGGGCUUUAGGCUUCAGAGANUAAGCGAAAGUGAUAAGUUAGCCACCUGGGGAGUACGUUCGCAAGAAUGAAACUCAAAGGAAUUGACGGGGGCCCGCACAAGCGGUGGAUUAUGUGGUUUAAUUCGAUGAUACGCGAGGAACCUUACCAAGACUUAAAUGGGAGAUGACAGGUUUAGAAAUAGACCCUUCUUCGGACAUUUUCCAAGGUGCUGCAUGGUUGUCGUCAGCUCGUGCCGUGAGGUGUUAGGUUAAGUCCUGCAACGAGCGCAACCCCUGUCACUAGUUGCCAUCAUUAAGUUGGGGACUCUAGUGAGACUGCCUACGCAAGUAGAGAGGAAGGUGGGGAUGACGUCAAAUCAUCACGGCCCUUACGUCUUGGGCCACACACGUAAUACAAUGGCCGGUACAGAGGGCAGCUACACAGCGAUGUGAUGCAAAUCUCGAAAGCCGGUCUCAGUUCGGAUUGGAGU